UACGUAGGAGGCAAGCGUUGUCCGGAAUCACUGGGCGUAAAGAGCGUGUAGGCGGUCUGCCAAGUCUGUUGUGAAAGCGCCUGGCUUAACUGGGCGAGGUCGACGGAAACUGGUGAACUUGAGGACGAGAGAGGAACAUGGAACUCCAGGUGUAGUGGUGAAAUGCGUAGAUAUCUGGAAGAACACCGAUGGCGAAGGCAAUGUUCUGGCUCGUUUCUGACGCUCAGGUGCGAAAGCCAGGGGAGCGAACGGG
RNAcentral lists this ribosomal RNA (253 nucleotides) under uncultured bacterium. RNAcentral's name for it is "partial 16S ribosomal RNA". It matches the Rfam family "Bacterial small subunit ribosomal RNA", at positions 524 to 776 of the family's 1533-position model. The record is from RNAcentral.